This 408-nucleotide ribosomal RNA is filed under the name bacterium enrichment culture clone ALO1_GLFRUDD03FMHQC. RNAcentral's name for it is "bacterial SSU rRNA". It matches the Rfam family "Bacterial small subunit ribosomal RNA", at positions 9 to 416 of the family's 1533-position model. RNAcentral also lists the same sequence under 3 other names. The record is from RNAcentral.
GAGUUUGAUCUUGGCUCAGAUUGAACGCUGGCGGCAUGCCUUACACAUGCAAGUCGAACGGCAGCACGGGAGCUUGCUCCUGGUGGCGAGUGGCGAACGGGUGAGUAAUGCAUCGGAACGUAUCCUGGAGUGGGGGGAUAACGUAGCGAAAGUUACGCUAAUACCGCAUAUUCUGUGAGCAGGAAAGCGGGGGACCUUCGGGCCUCGCGCUCUUGGAGCGGCCGAUGUCGGAUUAGCUAGUUGGUGAGGUAAAGGCUCACCAAGGCGACGAUCCGUAGCAGGUCUGAGAGGAUGAUCUGCCACACUGGAACUGAGACACGGUCCAGACUCCUACGGGAGGCAGCAGUGGGGAAUUUUGGACAAUGGGGGCAACCCUGAUCCAGCCAUGCCGCGUGAGUGAAGAAGGCC